This 472-nucleotide long non-coding RNA is filed under the name Homo sapiens (human). RNAcentral describes it as "HSALNT0280305". The record is from RNAcentral. Lineage: Eukaryota; Metazoa; Chordata; Mammalia; Primates; Hominidae.
GAGUUAGGUGGUGUUGAGGUUGAUUGGACAGUAUGGAUGGUGGAAGGAAUUGAUUGACUUGAAGGACAUGAAGAUGCAAGGCUAGUGCAAGAAACCAUGUGUGAAGCCAGUGCAUUUGGAGGCACAUGUAAAGGUCACCAACGCCUUCUCGAACAAUUUAUAAAAUAAGAAUGGGUGGGAGGAAACUGAAGACAAUUUUACAUCCUUGUGACUAGAAAGGAGAUGUGAGCUAAGAAGAGAGUUCAAGCAUGACCAAAUGAAGCAGAGGCUAGCAGCCCAGGCAACAAUACUCCUUCCUUGGUAGGUAAUGACAUUAUAAUGAGUAACUGCAGACAAACAAAGUCAGCAGUUCUUAGACACAGAGCAGCACCUAAUGCAGCAAGUAGUACCUAGGGGAAGGUCUGGGGAGGAGUUUUAAAGGGGUUUCUAAGAUAGGAAAGCGUGAAGUCUUAUUAUUGUACAGAAAGAUUGU